This 801-nucleotide ribosomal RNA is filed under the name Glaesserella parasuis. RNAcentral describes it as "bacterial SSU rRNA". It matches the Rfam family "Bacterial small subunit ribosomal RNA", at positions 159 to 957 of the family's 1533-position model. The record is from RNAcentral. Lineage: Bacteria; Pseudomonadati; Pseudomonadota; Gammaproteobacteria; Pasteurellales; Pasteurellaceae.
GUCGCUAAUACCGCGUAAUGUCUAAGGACUAGAGGGUGGGACUUUCGGGCCACCUGCCAUAAGAUGAGCCCAAGUGGGAUUAGGUAGUUGGUGGGGUAAAGGCCUACCAAGCCGACGAUCUCUAGCUGGUCUGAGAGGAUGACCAGCCACACUGGAACUGAGACACGGUCCAGACUCCUACGGGAGGCAGCAGUGGGGAAUAUUGCACAAUGGGGGGAACCCUGAUGCAGCCAUGCCGCGUGAAUGAAGAAGGCCUUCGGGUUGUAAAGUUCUUUCGGUGAUGAGGAAGGGUGAUGUUUUAAUAGAGCAUUACAUUGACGUUAGUCACAGAAGAAGCACCGGCUAACUCCGUGCCAGCAGCCGCGGUAAUACGGAGGGUGCGAGCGUUAAUCGGAAUGACUGGGCGUAAAGGGCACGCAGGCGGUGACUUAAGUGAGAUGUGAAAGCCCCGAGCUUAACUUGGGAAUUGCAUUUCAUACUGGGUGGCUAGAGUAUUUUAGGGAGGGGUAGAAUUCCACGUGUAGCGGUGAAAUGCGUAGAGAUGUGGAGGAAUACCGAAGGCGAAGGCAGCCCCUUGGGAAAAUACUGACGCUCAUGUGCGAAAGCGUGGGGAGCAAACAGGAUUAGAUACCCUGGUAGUCCACGCUGUAAACGCUGUCGAUUUGGGGAUUGGGCUUUAUGUUUGGUGCCCGUAGCUAACGUGAUAAAUCGACCGCCUGGGGAGUACGGCCGCAAGGUUAAAACUCAAAUGAAUUGACGGGGGCCCGCACAAGCGGUGGAGCAUGUGGUUUAAUUCGAUGC